This 465-nucleotide ribosomal RNA is filed under the name uncultured bacterium. RNAcentral describes it as "partial 16S ribosomal RNA". It matches the Rfam family "Bacterial small subunit ribosomal RNA", at positions 339 to 795 of the family's 1533-position model. The record is from RNAcentral.
CUACGGGUGGCUGCAGUGGGGAAUAUUGGACAAUGGGGGAAACCCUGAUCCAGCAAUGCCGCGUGUGUGAAGAAGGCCUGCGGGUUGUAAAGCACUUUCGGUUGGGAGGACUGCUUCUAGCACUAAUAUUGUUGGAAGUUGACGUUACCUUCAGAAGAAGCACCGGCUAACUCCGUGCCAGCAGCCGCGGUAAUACGGAGGGUGCAAGCGUUAAUCGGAAUUACUGGGCGUAAAGCGCGCGUAGGCGGCUAGAUCAGUCGGAGUUGAAAGCCCCGGGCUUAACCUGGGAACUGCAUCCGAUACUGUCUAGCUUGAGUACAGGAGAGGAGAGUGGAAUUCCACAUGUAGCGGUGAAAUGCGUAGAUAUGUGGAGGAACACCAAUGGCGAAGGCAGCUCUCUGGCCUGAUACUGACGCUGAGGUGCGAAGGCGUGGGGAGCAAACAGGAUUAGAUACCCUUGUAGUC